Molecule: long non-coding RNA, 1030 nt
Organism: Heterocephalus glaber (naked mole-rat)
Lineage: Eukaryota; Metazoa; Chordata; Mammalia; Rodentia; Bathyergidae
Source: Ensembl
CGGGAAAGGAGGCGGUUGGUCGCCAUUUUGGGAGGCGGGCGGUUGAGGGCGGGCUAGGGUAAAGACGAAACCCAGGAAGGGUGUGAACGACAAGGGUCGUUCCCUGGCGCGACCCACACCCCCAGGCUGAGGUCUGCUGCCUUGCCGGUGUUUCAGGAGGGCAGCGUUAGAAUGCAGUGGCCCAACAUCCCCUACUCCUUGUGGGCCUCGCCAUGACGCACAGCCCCGCGGUGGGGCCGCGCUAGCUGGUCGUGGCCCCUGGAGGGCCGCCCGCGCAUCCGCAAGCACGCGGGAGCACGGGGCACUAGGAUCAAGGAUUGCCUCCCUUUUUCCACCAAACUCCGAGCCUCGUAGGGGACUGCAGCGGCUUCAGUGCCGACUGGUCACGCAGUGGGAGCCACCAGCCACUGAGACCAGGAUUCAAUCCUCAGAAAUUGAACCCUGCCCAGUCGCCCACGGGGGCAUACGCCUGUAAUCUUAGCGCCCUGGGAGGCUGAGGCAGAAGGAUCGCAAAUUUGAGCCCAGCUUGGGCAAGUAGGCGAGACCUUGUCUAAAAGUAUAAAAGAACUGAGAAUGUACUGGAAGCUCAAUGUGAAGACCUUGGUUUCAAUUCCUAGUACUGCCAAAAAUAAAAUAAAAUAUUGAAAUUCCGAGGUCUACAGCGCCUGACGGCACAUUCCGGGUUGCCUGGGGUUAGGAAACUGACCUUGACCAAUGAGGAGCGUGAGGGAUCUUACUGAGGUCCAUAGAGACUUCCUGGGGUGAUGACCUUGAGCAGAGACCAAGAGGAAAUACAGAAGAGAGCUACAAUAUCUGGGGACAAGAGAAGGGGCAGCAAGUGCAAAGGCCCUGAGGCAGGAAGAACUGGGACCCUUUGAAAGACAACAAAGAGACCGAUGUGGGUAGAACCAUGUGAAUAAAGAAAAGGAGAACAAAGGACACAUCAUGUUAAGGACAAUGACUCAUCUUGCUGGGAGACCACAGAAAAUGGAAAGCCUCACUGGGUCAUGCAGUGCUGAUCAGAUGCUGG